GCCAGAGUGGUGGAAUGGUUUAAGUGUUGGACUAUGACCCUGGAGACCAGGGUUCGAAUCCCUGUUCGACCA
This is a non-coding RNA of Phrynosoma platyrhinos (Desert horned lizard), 72 nucleotides long. NCBI's taxonomy places the organism in Eukaryota, Metazoa, Chordata, Lepidosauria, Squamata, Phrynosomatidae. The record is from the annotation of a GenBank genome assembly.